CGCGAUCCCUGGGACGCCCCCAUUCCGAGGUAACUCCCCACCUCUGGGCCCCCUCCUUCCUGCCCUUCUUGGGUUCGCCAGAGGCGCUAAGUGGGUUUUUCUAGCUACCCUUCUCUACAGAUGGGGAAACUUGAGGCCCAGGUAGGCAGAAAGAUCUCUCACAGUCACUAAGCUUAGUUGCGUCCGCAUCUCCAAGAUUGAGCUACACCACGCUGUGGCUGAGCAGUCCCGCCUCCUGGUGCUCUCACGUCGGACCGCUCACUCCCUGAAGUUACCCUAUCUAGACCCAGGCAUUUAUAACAUGUGUGGCCUCCCUCCCCCUACGCAGCGCGCGCCGGCCCCCUAGAAGCCUUUCUGGGUUUAAGGGGCUGCCUACAGCGCCAGGCCCUACGUAAGAUCCUGCAAAUACAGAAUACUCGUUGCUGUAAGAUUAAUGUGUUGAGCCAGAUGCUUUCGGGCUCCAAACUAGAUUUUGAUCAUGCCUUGGGAUGUGGCAAGCCAGGUAUUUCUUGUUUCCCAAAUGACUUCUGGCCAGAUCUAAAUAAGAAUCACUUUUACAUUCUUCAUUUGAGCCACUCCUCAGCCUGUGAACGGUCAGCAUCAAGGGAUAGCAACAGCAUUUUACGGUUGAAAAGAGUGAGGCUCAAGGAGAUAAAAUGGGCUGAAGUCUUGUGGCAGAGCCAGAACCAGCACUUGGGAUUUCUGAUUGUGAGUGCCUGGAUAUUUUUGUUAUACCACGGGAUAAGUGAGGUCCCACCCCACCCAUCUAAGAACAGAAUGAUUCUGCCAGGAAUCUCAGGUAGCACUCUAACCUGGAAUCUGGUUUUGCUUGAAGUCAUAGGGGAAUUGGUGGGACACACCGAAAGGGUCUCUGGCUUCACGUUUUCACAUCACCCGGGUCAAUACAACCUCUGUGCCACGAGCUCUGAUGAUGGGACUGUGAAAAUCUGGGAUGUAGAGACAAAAGCAGUUGUGACAGAGCAUGCACUCCAUCAGGUACCAUGGCUUACUGGUUUCUCAGACCGUUAUUAGAUAUCUGUGCUGAGGGUUCUUUUGUUUCAAGUAUGCUAGCUCAUCUGUUAAUUUUUAUGAUAAUGUUCAUUAGUUGGAUGAGAAUAAGAUGCCUCAAAACUUUUUUGGAAGGAGAUAACAUAAACCAGAGGUCAGCAAAGUACAGUGUGCUGCCUGUUUUUGCAGAUUGUUUUUUUGGAAUACUACCACAGUCAAUUCAUUUAAGUAUUGGCUGCUUGCAUGCUACAAGGCAGACUUGGGUAGUUGCACUAGAGACAGUAUGGCCCACAAAUCAAAAAAUAUCUACUAUCUGGUUCUGUCCAUGAAAAAGACUCCUAAUAUAAACUGUAAAUGAGUGAAUAAAACUUGUUUCUAAACCAGAUGAUUACUUGAUAAACCUGCCUUUUCAGAGAGUGUAGAAAAGGAGAAGACUCAUUUAAUCUUAGUAAGAACUUUACAUUAAGUUAUUAAAGGAAGAAAUGGUUUUAAUGGUUCCUUGACCCUUAGGAGCUUAAAUUCUUCUACCAUUUGGUUAAUGUACUCUUGGCAUACAAGUGGUACUAACACUAAUUAAGUACCCCUCAAUGUGCCUAGUAUAGUACAGGUUUAAAAUGAAGUAAAAAUUCAGCAUUGACAAAUGAGAAGCAAAUGUGUGUUUGUUUUGUUUUAAAGCAUACAAUAUCAGCAUUGCACUGGUCUCCUCAAGUAAAGGAUUUAAUAGUAUCUGGAGAUGAAAAAGGAGUAGUUUUCUGUUACUGGCUUAACAGAAAUGACAGCCAGCACCUCUUUAUAGAACCCAGGACAAUUUUCUGUCUUACUUGCUCACCUCAUCAUGAAGAUUUAGUAGCCAUUGGGUAAGUACUAUCCCCUGCAGUCUGUGUCUGCAAAAAUAAAAAAAUUUAUUUUUGUUAAUGAGCAUAUUUUGCAUUUGCUUUAUCUUUUCCUGUCCCUUUAUUCUUCAAAGAAAAUGAUUUAUAGGUAUUAACCACUCCUUGGGCCCUUGGUAGCCUUUAUUCCUAUGACCUCCAGGUCCUCGCUAUCUCUCUCACUGUCUUUUUAUUUCCUUAGUUUCUUCGAUAAUGUACUUUGCUCAUUCUUCAUAUCUGAUUUCUUCAGUCAGCCUCCAAAUGUAGGAAAUACCCUCUUUCCCCCCUUUUCUCCCUCAGUACUCAGGCUUAGAGAUAACAUUUACUCCCGGAGUGUCAGAGGACUCAGUUCUGUCCUGGUUCUCAGCCCUCCCUCUGGAUUGGGAGAGUGUUUUGGCAUUGGGCUCUGCCUCCACCUUGAUCAAUCACCAAGGUUGUUUCACAUGAACUUCCUUGAGCAGGCAUCCCCCUUUCCCUCACCACUCCAUUUACCUCUAUCCCAAAGAUGUCCUUUCACACUAGUUUGAACACAUGACAUAAGCACUAGAGUGUUGGAGGAGAAAGUAUGGCGGGAGUGGACUCAAGAGACUGAAGGUGCAGUAGCGAAGGUACACGUGGAGACAGCAGACUUUUGUUUGUUGAACAAAUGUGCGUAGACAUGAAGCCAGAGAAGGUAUGUGGCAGUUAAGGGAAUAUUAAAUGGAAAAUAAUAAGGGCAUGUUUUUAUGCUGAUGGAAAUGAGGCAGAAGAGGGAGAGCUGAAUACACGGAAAAUGUAGUAAAUACAGGAGUGAUGUUGAGAAGUCAAGAGGGGAUUGGAUCCAGAUCACAAGUAGAAAGGAUAAGUGACAACAUGGAAAUAGGGCAGGUGAGUUUGGAGAUCUGGUUGGAAGAGGAGGGUGUUUCAUCUUCCUGGCUUCUGCUUUUCUCCAUGAGGCAUAAGUCAGAAGGUGGAGUCAGGUUCAGAGUGGGGCUGAAAGCAUGCAGAAAGAUGUGAAAAUAGUCCUCUCAGAAAAUAGGAAAAUGAGCUUACUGAGAGAGAAUGUAGGACAAAUGGUCCCUAUUGAGUGCCAGGCUAUGGAUCAAAGUUAUGAAUUCAAAGUAAACUAUUCAAGCUGAUUGAGAAAGACUUUGGUUGGAUUCAAGAACGUUUGGGGUUUUGUGGAAUAAAUACCUCUAGGAGAGAGGGCACAAAGGAGCUAAUGGUGUUUUUAAAGUUGUGAUCAUAAUGAUGGAUCAUGAAAUCUGUGGCCUGAGGGACAGGAUAGGAAGACAGGUGUGGGAGCUUAGUAGUGAAAUGGAAGGGAUCUGUGCAUGCAUGCAUUGGUGACCUGCUAGGUGAAGUGGCAGCAGUGGUGCACUGGGGCAGUAGAGAGGGAGCAGAAAAGGUGGCAGGUAGGGAUCAGAGAAGGUUGAAUCAGACCAACCUUGAAAGAUGAGCAAGAAUUUACGAGAAGAAAUCUUUCAGGUAUAAGGAACUGCAUAGACACAGGAUUGAAUCAGAAUGGUUUGUUUCUGGAGGAUCUUCAAAAUGGUGAUCCUUCUCUAAAGGGCUGAUUAAAAUUGCAGGACAGCUCAGUUACUGGACCAUAAGGUUGCAUAACUUGAAGGUUUUCAAAGUCUGUGUCUGCAAAGACCGAUAACAGUCUAUGAUUUUUUUUUUUUUAAAUAAAGCUGUAAUGGGGGGAAAUGUUUCUAAUAAAAGAAAAAUAAGUAGAGCUGGAAUGUGUUUUUUUCCCUGUAGGAUUGUCUAGUAUGUAGGAAAUGUAAAUAGGUACACCCGCUUUAGAGAGCAGUUUUGCACAUUCUACUAAAGCAAAGGUGUACACAUCUUACAUCCUGGCAGUUCCAUUACUAGGCAUCAAAUCUGAAAUUGUCUUAAGUGUGCAUAAGAUUAUUAAUGUCAUUUUUUUGUUUGUAAUAGCAAAAAACGGAAGCCCUUCAAAAGGGAAAAUGAAUAAACUUGUGCUGUCUUCAUCAAGGGAGUGCUAUCCAAUAGUACAAAUGACUGACCAGGAACUAGAGUUACAUGCUUCAACAUGGAUGACUCACUAACAGUGAGUGGAAAAAAAACAAUCUACAGAAAAACAGACCUCAUGAUACCAUUUCUAUGAAGUUUUAAAACCUACAAAAUCAUCUUCUGUCAUCUUUAGGAAUCUAUACAAAGAAAGGCUAGGAAUGUUGGAACACAGAAUUCACCAAUAUCAGUUUACCUCUGGGAAAGAGAGGGAAAGAGGUUUGAUUGGGGUGGGAUGUACAAAGGAUUUCAACUAUAUUGGUAAUUGGGUGUAUUCUUUUCUUAAGCUGGUUCUUGGGUAUUUAUGUGUGUGAAAAAACUAUUAGAAUUUCUCAGUUUCCUCUGAAUUCAAAAAUGAUAGUCUUGAAAUAUCCAGAUCUAGAAGCUACAGUACUGCAGCUUUUGUUAAGUUCAUAGUUAGAGAAAUAGGAUCACGUAUUUAAAAAGGGGCGGGGAAUAGGUUUAAGUGCGUUAGGUCAAAUUCAUCUGGAAUUAGAGGGAUUGCUGGGCCCCACAAAUAACCAUUCUUCUGUAAGUUCCCUUCAAACACAAGCAUGCUUUACACCUUGAGCUUGCAGUCAAUGCAGUAUUACUUAGUGCCAAGAGCUUGAUUGGAGAGGUGGGGCACAAAUGUGUCAGGACCACCAGGAAACAGAAAGUGAACACUUUGGAAAAAAGGACAAAACAAGAUUCUUUCUUUCUUCCCUUCCCUCUUCCCCCAAAUACACUUACCUUUUAGAAGUGUACAGUGAUAACUCUUAAGUCACUGUUCUGUCUUCAUUUUCCAGUAAUAUUUCUAACUCUUGUUUUUUAGCUACAAGGAUGGCAUAGUGGUUAUAAUUGACAUCAGUAAGAAAGGAGAAGUUAUUCACAGGCUUCGAGGCCACGAUGAUGAGAUUCACUCCAUAGCCUGGUGUCCCCUGCCUGGCGAAGAUUGUUUAUCCAUAAGUCAAGAGGAAAAUUCAGGUAGAGAUGAUUUAAGACCUAAAGAACAAUGUGGAUUAAACUGUAGCUUUUGAAUUACAUUUAAAACUUUAGCUCUUACAGAUCAGAUCUAUAAAUGUAAUAUCUAAGUUUUAGGAUCCCUUGAAAACUAGUUUUUCUUUUGACAAGUUCAUGUUUCAUGUAAGUUAAAAACAAAAUUACCAUCUCUACCCUAGAAGAACCUGCAAUUCCCAAUGGUAAAGUCACAGCACCAACUCCAGUAACAAAAGGCUGCUACUUAGCCACUGGAAGCAAAGAUCAGACCAUUCGAAUCUGGAGCUGCUCUAGAGGCCGAGGUAAGAUUCAUGUUUGGUGUUUCUUUUGUGAUAUAACCUAUAGUGACUGGUAGAAGUAGAAACUUUUUUAUUGUGUCUUGUUAUCCUAAGAGUGUGUCAUCAUCUAGAAGGCAGUUCUUUACUUUUCUAUCCAGAAAGUUGCUUCACCAGUUUAGCCUGGGCUAGAACUCCCUGUGCUCUGAACAUCUGACUUUGGUUUUGGACCAAAGAGGGUUUCUGAUGCGUUCAUAGAAGGGUCAUCGUUUGUCAUGGAAGGCAAGAUGUUGGUUAUAAGGAUAGGAAUGUUGGAACUUGGCAAGGCCUGAAUCAGAGGAUUGGGAAAGAUCUCUAGAGCUAAAGGUUUUAAUACACAAAUGCAGAAUAAUACGUACCCAGUGUAGAAGCGCAUGUUUAAAUGUUAAAGUUCAUUUUAUCCAAAUUACAGGGACCCUCAGUCAUUCGGCUUUCCCAGUCUUCUCUCUUUGAACAGAACUUUUGCCUUCAAUUUAUAAAUUGAGAGGAACUCCAAGCAGAGUGGAUGUUACACUUAUAGUAAAACUCUAGCCUUUGUCUUUAUAGCAGUCUUCUUUCUCUAUAUGCUUUAGUGCAUAUAAAGCAAAUAGCAUAGUGCUUGGCCAUAAUUCUAACAUAGUCAGUGGUAACUAAUAGAAUAAUUUUGGAAAAUGGAAUUUUUUUUAAAGAAUUUUGGACUGCUUUUGGAGAUACUAGGGCUGAUACUCCCAGGUGGGACAACGUAAGGCCCAGGAUCCCUCCAGAAGGGUAACUUCUAAACCUUUGUUAGAUUUCUUGCCACUCUCCCCUGCCAACUUUGGAGAAUCUAGAGUUGUGUUACUACCUGGGUUCACAAUUCCAGUUGAAACCCCAUUCUCCCAAACAGGCAAUAUUAAUGUGUGCUCAGGUUGCCAGGAUAGCCUAUAAAAAGUUUGUUUUACCUGAAUUAGACAAGUAUUAAAACUAUGUGUAAUAACGUUUCCAUGAGAAAAUGAGGUCUGCAUUCUAAGUAACCAAACUAACAAACUUUUAAACUGUACUGUGAACUGCUGGGGACUUCGCAUGUGUGUUUUCACUGACUUGAGCACCCACCGACUUUCUUUCCAUCUGCAGGGGUGAUGGUUUUGAAAUUGCCCUUUCUGAAGAGAAGAGGAGGGGGUAUAGACCCAACUAUUAAAGAACGCCUUUGGUUGACACUCCAUUGGCCCAAGGAUCAACCAACACAGCUGGUAUCCAGCUGUUUUGGGUAAGUUUUUCUGGUCAUGCCCUCUCUGACCUAUUUUGUUUUCCUCUCUAGCUUCUUGAGGAAUUCCUAGGCUCCUCUUUCUAGACAUAGAAGAUGGAAAAGGCAAGGGCUAAGGCUUAUACUGUGACAGGCCAUUUGUAAUGGAAAAAUCAUGGGACAGAUACCUGUGUUGUCUACUUACAGUGCUGAAAAAAGACCAAAUACGUAUAGCCUGGUAAUUAAGAGCAUGGACUCCAAAGUCAGACCAAAUUGCAUUUCCAAAUCAGUCUCUUACCUUCUAUGUGUUCAUGAGUGUGACCCUUCGAACUUCAGUUAUAUCAUGUGUAAAAGAGGGAGCUUAGAGAAUUCCCAUCUCUUUGGAUGAUUAUAGCCAUUCAUUGAACAGAAUUUAGUGAGUACUACCUUCUAGUUGUUUGAGGUAAUAAGUGAAUUUAGCAGAUAAAGGCCCUGAUUUCAAAUGAAAUGGUACAGGGAAAGCAGAUAAAAAUCCCCCCCUAAAAUGCUGGUCAUGGCCCUACUCUCCCACACCAUCCCAAAAAAGAGAGAGUAUAGUAUGUGUUUAAGCUUUGGGGCUGUGCAAAUUAUGGUGGCAUUUUACUAUUAAAACUGUUAGGAAAAUCUGUUCCAGAGGAAGUGCAGCACAUUGACGGGGUUCAAAAUAAGGUAAGAACCAGAGUUGCUCUGUCUCAAGCAACUAGGUUCCCUUCCCCAUAGACAGUGACACCUUGUUUUUUUGUGUGUUCUUUCUGAGCUGUUCUGUGCACAUUUCAGAAUAUGCAAUUUUUUUCUCCUUAAAAGAACAACUGAUAGAAAUUAUUUGGCAACUGAGGGCCCACACUCUCCCCACAUCUCUUGUUUCCAGAUUGCUUGUGAAAGAGAACUAGUGCUUGUUUUUCCUCACAGAGGUGAGCUGUUGCUGUGGGAUCUCACUCAGUCCUGGAGACGGAAAUAUACCCUCUUUAGUGCUUCAUCAGAAGGGCAGAAUCAUUCAAGAAUUGUGUUUAACUUAUGCCCUUUACAAACGGAGGACGACAAACAGCUGCUGCUUUCCACAUCAAUGGAUAGAGAUGUAAGCACUGCUUAGUUUGCAUUCACCAUUGUAGGGCCCGUGAUUUAGGAAUUGGAUAGGAUCAGAGGGCUUUUCAAACCAUCCAUCAGUUCUCACGCCCCGCCUUACACCCCCACGCCCAGCCCAAUCUCAGAGUUACUGUUACUGUUACUGACCAGAGCUAACUGUGGGAGCAGCAGAGAGUUAGGGGAAAGGUGAGAAACCACCAAGAUGCCUUUUUGUUAGAGCAGCUAUGGUGAAAGAUCGUAGAUGUGUCCAGGGAAGGAUGCAUGAGACCAUCAUGCUUUGGCUUUAAAAUAUUCUUGUCUAUAGUUAAGGUAGCAGAACCAUCUGCUCUUGAUGAAAUCUCCAAGAGAGAAUUGGCUAUAUUUAAGAAUCUGUGACUUCAUUGUUUUGCAGUUAGGCUAGGCUUAUUUGAUAGACUUUGUUUUCUCCCAAACCUCUCUGUUAAAUGAGUGAAGAUUAAAAAUGUAGCAUUUCUCCUUCCCCUGGGGAUAAGAUAUUUUUGCUUUUUGAGAUAGCCCCUCUCAUUUUCCCACUGUCCUGAGACCAUCUUCAUUCUUAGUUAGGAUUUGCUAAAUGAGAUUACCAGUGCUGUAGUACAGUACAGUGGAAAGGCUGCUGGACUCUGGGAAAUGAGCGGCCUGGAUCUGGUUUAUUCAUUUACCCUGAAUUCACUUAACAUCUCUGGGAAUGAAUAUAUUCUAAGAUCCCUUUGGGCCUACAAUUUAUUACUUUUUCUUUUCCUAAGAGAUACUUUUCCUACUACCUAUUAGAAUAAAUUAUAUUUGUAUAUUAUAAUAUAUAUUCUUUAUAUGUUUUUAUUAUAUAUUCUUUAUAUUACCCAUUCUUUGAGUCCAUCCUGUUUGAGAUGUUGAUUCUUUUUCCUGUUUUUCUGAUUUUUUUUUUUUUUUUUUUUACAUUUAAACCCUAACCCUGGAUAUUUUUAGGUAAAAUGUUGGGACAUGGCCACCCUAGAGUGCUGCUGGUCCCUGCCUUCCCUUGGUGGAUUUGCCUACAGCCUGGCUUUCUCUCCUGUGGACAUGGG
This 8527-nucleotide long non-coding RNA is filed under the name Lynx pardinus (Iberian lynx). Lineage: Eukaryota; Metazoa; Chordata; Mammalia; Carnivora; Felidae. The record is from RNAcentral.